Oryctolagus cuniculus (rabbit) is the source of this 3517-nucleotide long non-coding RNA. RefSeq lists it as uncharacterized. Lineage: Eukaryota; Metazoa; Chordata; Mammalia; Lagomorpha; Leporidae. The record is from RefSeq and is a predicted model, not a curated record.
AUGGCGCUGGGCCCGCUCAAACGGCGGGGCGCGUGCAAGUGGCGAGUCCGAACGUCCCGCCCCGACUUUCCCAGCGUGAAAGUUGUGCCUCGCUCGUUCUCGAGCCGGCAGCCCGUGGCAUCGGCUCCUGCGUCGGGCUUGGCGUCCUGACCCGGAUGAGGGUGGGAAGGGCGGGCCGGUUCAGCUCCACAGCUGAGCGUCCUCUGCUCUCGGAUGCGCUCUCCUCCUCUGGCAGUUUUGAUUGAAGAGGACUAAUGCGAAGGCGUCAGAGAUCCGAAGGCGAAACAGUUCAUCUCGGGAGGAAGCAGCCGAGUAGCCUUGAAGCGUGAGAAGCGGCUGGAAUUCCACAUGGGUCCAUUGAUGAGAAUGUGCUGAUUAGUCUUUUUGAGCAGGACAUAGCCAUUAUUCCAGAUAUAUUGAUGUUUGUGCGUCAGAGGAUACGAACUUUCCGGCUCGUCAAAAGCAUACAAAGUCAGAAACCAUCCCAGCCAAGAGGAACCUAAGGAGAGCUGAGGAUGAAAGGUAUGGUGGUCAUCUGGACAGAAUUCUGGAACAGAAAAGGACACGGGGUUAAACAAGGGAAAUUUGAGCAAUGUAUGAAUGCUGGUUCAUCAGUUGUAACAAAUGUGCUUUGCUAGCACACUGUGUUAUUAUGGGCACUCUGUACUAUCCUCUCAAUUUUCCUGUAAAUCUAAAACUAUUCCCCAAAAAAGUGUAUUAUACAUUAAGAAAUCAAAAAUCUAACUCAGAUCCCACUUUAUAAAGUGUUAAACCAAGACUCUCCAAAGCAAUGAAGAAUGUCCAGUCAUGUUGUUCUUAUUUUGUACAUCAAUUUUAAAAAUUGUAUUUAAAUAUUAAUGUUUUCAUAUUUUAAUGUUUAUUGUAUGUUUCUUAUAUACAUAACACAUACAUCCAUACAGAAGUACAUUGUGAGCUUUAAGACAUGCUUGCUGGAGGUAAAUUUGUUACUACUGACAUUAUAGAACUUAUUAGAGAGCUGUGUUAAACCAGUAAGUCAAAACUAGAGUUUCUUAGAGGCAGUCAUGAGAAGAAAGCUCAUGAACUAUGAUAUAAUUAAAACAAUUUACCUGUAUUUUGCUAAGAUGAAUAACUAAUGACAUCUAAAAACUAUAAUCUUAGGGGGCAGGUAUUUGGCCUGGUGGUUGACACCCUUUGGGAUACUUGCAUCCCAUGUUGGACUGCCUUGGUUUGAGUCCCAGCCCUGUUCCUAAUGUCAGCUUGCUGCUAAUGCAUACCCUGGGAGGCAGGAGGUGAUGGCUCAAGUACUUGGGGUCUUGUCCAAGUCCACAUGGAAUACUGGAUUAAGUUUCCAGCUCCAGGCUUCAGCUUGGCCCAUCCCUGGCUAUUGCAAGCAUUUGGGGAGUGAACCAGCAGAUGGAAGAUUGCUCGCUCUCUCUCGCCCUCUCUGUCUCUCUCUCUCUCUCUGUCUCAGUUAAAUGAAUAAAUAUUUUUAAAAGUAACUAUAAGCUUAGGUAAAAUCCUACAUAAUAACAUUGCUAAAAAAUAAUUCCAGUUUUCAAUUUCCUCCUAGAAUCAAAUAUUGGGUAACACUGAAUAACUGAUAGUGAUAUGAUGGCAUUAUAAUCUGGUAACUUAUACUUUGAAUCAAAACAUCAAUUUCAGUGAUCUUGCCUAGAAUAACUAAUAUGUAAAAGAUUUCAAGUUCCUUUGUGUUGAACACUGCAACCCUCACUUGUAAAGACUGUUCGUGAAUACUGCUGAGCUUGAUCUUUUGGUGUUGUAAUUCUCUUUAAGGAACUUAGAAUAAGUCGGACACAUUGCCCUCCCUUCCAAAUACCAUACACAUAUUUUAUAGCUAAGUCAAACCACCCUAUAUUUUAAUCCUAUGGAAUUCCCCAAUGUCAGAGCAAUAAAAAAAUAGAUUUCAAGUGUAUUCUGUAGGUCAAUUUCAAGCAUUCACAGGAAAGGUACUUUUUCAUUUAUUAAUUCUACUUUCAUAAGUUCACGAAGUGUAUCCAAGCUUGAAAGGAAGUGUUAGUUUCACUUAGAAAGUAACUACUCCAGGAAUACCCAAGCAUUAAUUUGAAAGACUCCUUUUUUGCAAUAUGCCUUUUGAUUAUGGAAUGCUCAUUAAUUAAAAAAAGAAUGAUGCUGGGGGUAGGAACUGACUGUGCCUUCAGUUCUGAUACUGAAAGAAAUAACUAUAGAGAAAAAAUAGGGGAAAUAUUUAUAGCCCAAUAGAAAAAAUAUCUUAUAGUAGUGUUAGUUUAUCUGGAAAGCCCCAAAACUUUCCCCAAGAGUUUUUAUUGGGAGAAGUAUGGGUCAUAAUGAAAUUUAUUUUAUUAUGAAAAUGAAACCAUUUUGUACAUAAGGAGACGAGAGAGAAUGAUGCUGUUAUAAUUUACAGACUGAAAGUUCUGGAAAAUAUUAAGCCAGUUAUUUGCCUCCAGCUAAACAGAAUUUCAUCCUAAAGACAUUAUCCAGGCAGAUGGUAAUCUUAAUUUAUUUGGAGAGCUUCUACACUGGAAUUCCAAACCAUUAGUUCCUUAGUGUCUGCAACAGACUGAGUGUGUCCUCCAACCCUCCAAAUUCAUAUGUUGAUUUCUUUUUUUAUUUUAUCUUUCUUUUAUUUUUGACAGGCAGAGUGGACAGUGAGAGAGAGAGAGAGACAGAGAGAAAGGUCUUCCUUUUGCUGUUGGUUCACCCUCCAAUGGCCGCUGUGGCCGGCGCGCUGCAGCCGGCGCACUGCGCUGAUCUGAAGGCAGGAGCCAGGUGCUUCUCCUGGUCUCCCAUGUGGGUGCAGGGCCCAAGGACUUGGGCCAUCCUCCACUGCCCUCCCGAGCCACAGCAGAGAGCUGGCCUGGAAGAGGGGCAACCGGGACAGAAUCCGGCGCCCCGACCGGGACUAGAACCCGGUGUGCCGGCGCGGCAAGGCGGAGGAUUAGCCUAGUGAGCCACGGCGCCGGCUCAUAUGUUGAUUUCUAAUCCCAAUAGGACUGUAUCUGAAGAUAGGGACUAGGAGGAAGUGACCAAGGUUAAACAAGGCCGUAGGGUAUGGUCCUAAUCCAAUGAGAAUGCCUGCACCAGAAAUUGAGUCAACUGGCACCCUGAUCUUACAUUAUCAAGAGGGAAAAUAAAUAACUCCUGUUUAAGCACCUAGUCCUCAGUAUAUUGUUAUGGCAGCCACAGUAGACUAAGACAGUAUCAUACAAUACUUCCCUACCUUUACCUUUUUUUUUUUUUUACAGGCAGAGUGGACAGUGAGAGAGAGAGACAGAGAGAAAGGUCUUUUUCCAUUGGUUCACCCUCCAGCCAGCGCACUGCACUGAUCCAAAGCCAGGAGCCAGGUGCCCCUCCUGGUCUCCCAUGCAGGUGCAGGGCCCAAGGACCUGGGCCAUCCUCCACUGCACUCCCGGGCCACAGCAGAGAGCUGGACUGGAAGAGGGGCAACUGGGACAGAAUCCGGCACCCCGACCGGGACUAGAACCCGGGGUGCUGGUGCUGCAGGCAGAGGAUUAGCCUGUUGAGCCCAGGC